UGGCUCCCGAACCAUGGACUUCACUGU
This 27-nucleotide non-coding RNA is filed under the name Homo sapiens (human). The record is from RNAcentral. Lineage: Eukaryota; Metazoa; Chordata; Mammalia; Primates; Hominidae.